RNAcentral lists this ribosomal RNA (325 nucleotides) under uncultured eukaryote. RNAcentral describes it as "partial 18S ribosomal RNA". It matches the Rfam family "Eukaryotic small subunit ribosomal RNA", at positions 1470 to 1796 of the family's 1831-position model. The record is from RNAcentral.
CCCUUAGAUGUCCUGGGCCGCACGCGCGCUACACUGAUGCAUUCAGCGAGUAUUUCCUUGGCCGAGAGGCCUGGGCAAUCUUUUAAACCUGCAUCGUGAUAGGGAUAGAUUAUUGCAAUUAUUAAUCUUGAACGAGGAAUUCCUAGUAAACGCAAAUCAUCAAUUUGCAUUGAUUACGUCCCUGCCCUUUGUACACACCGCCCGUCGCACCUACCGAUUGAAUGGUCCGGUGAAAUCUCGGGAUUGUGGCCAGUUCACUUUAUUGGGAGUUGGCUGCGAGAACUUGCUUAAACCUUAUCAUUUAGAGGAAGGUGAAGUCGUAACA